AUUGAACGCUGGCGGCAGGCCUAACACAUGCAAGUCGAGCGGAUGAACGGAGCUUGCUUCUGGAUUCAGCGGCGGACGGGUGAGUAUUGCCUAGGAAUCUGCCUGCCAGUGGGGGAGAACGUCCGGAAACGGGCGCUAAUACCGCAUACGACCUGAGGGAGAAGGAGGGGGAUCGUCGGACCUCACGCUAUCAGAUGAGCCUAGGUCGGGUUAGCUAGUUGGUGGGGUUAAGGCCUACCAACGGGACGAUCGGCAGCUGGUCUGAUAGGAGGAGCACUCACCUGGGAAGUGGAACACGCUCCAUACUCCUACGGGACGCACCAGUGGGGAAUAUUGGACAAUGGGCGAGAGUCUGAUCCAGCCAUGGCACGUGUGAGAAGGCGGUGUUCGGAUCGUGAAGCCGGUUAUGUUGUGGGGAAGGGCUGUAAGUUGUUACCUUGCUUUAUUGACGUUACUAACAGAAUAAGCACCGGCUAACUUCGUG
This 484-nucleotide ribosomal RNA is filed under the name uncultured bacterium. RNAcentral's name for it is "partial 16S ribosomal RNA". It matches the Rfam family "Bacterial small subunit ribosomal RNA", at positions 30 to 507 of the family's 1533-position model. The record is from RNAcentral.